This 764-nucleotide long non-coding RNA is filed under the name Pongo abelii (Sumatran orangutan). Its description in RNAcentral is "lincRNA". Lineage: Eukaryota; Metazoa; Chordata; Mammalia; Primates; Hominidae. The record is from RNAcentral.
UUGUUGGCAAACAGUUCUGGGGGUCAUCCUAGCCUACAGAUAGUGCCCAGGCUGGACUUGAACUCCUUGCUGGGCUUAAGUGAUCCUCCUGCCUCAGCCUCCUGAAUAGGAAGUGGAGCCAGAAUCCACAGAUGUCAUUAUCCAUCUGCACACUUUGUUUACUACCCAGAAGGCAAGAAUAUUGCAUUUUAAAAGUGCCUAGACUUUUGUUCUUUCUUAUCACAAAUGACUUGGGAAGCUCCGACCACUCAUGUUUACCCCGAGUGAAAGUCCCAUUCAAAGCCUUGCUUCCUGGAGAGCUUUGAGAUUCUGGUUCAAAAGGCAUUUUAUAAGCACAAAGUGGAAAAGCAUCAUUCAUAUUCAUUUGCUGCUGCGGCAUUUCUCCCUGGAUUCUUCCUCUUGUCUGUCAACAUUGGGCAAAAGGACUGGCCUCAUCUACAUUACAGAUAUCCUUGUGAUGGUCUGGAGGGACCUGUGGGAGAGGCAGCCAUCCGGAGGGCUCUCUGAGGGGUCAUUUAGAAUGCAACUGUUCUGGGCAGAGGAUGGUCUGCACUGGCCUCCAUCGCACAGGAAGGCUUCCAGAGUGGAGAAAUGUCCACUAAUGUGGCUUCUGUGAGGUAUCAUUCUGUUCAUUGUUGUUACAGGAGAGAUGAGAAGAAAUUAGAGGGGCUAGAAGAACCAGCAGACCUGUUAAAAAUCAUGAAUACAAAGAAAAGUCAUUUGCUUCUGUGCUUCAAUUCCAUAAUAAAAUGAGUAUAAUGUCA